UACGUAGGGUGCGAGCGUUGUCCGGAAUUAUUGGGCGUAAAGAGCUCGUAGGCGGUUUGUCGCGUCUGCUGUGAAAACCCGAGGCUCAACCUCGGGCCUGCAGUGGGUACGGGCAGACUAGAGUGCGGUAGGGGAGAUUGGAAUCCUGGUGUAGCGGUGGAAUGCGCAGAUAUCAGGAGGAACACCAAUGGCGAAGGCAGAUCUCUGGGCCGUAACUGACGCUGGAGGAGCGAAAGCAUGGGGAGCGAACAGG
Molecule: ribosomal RNA, 253 nt
Filed under: uncultured bacterium
Lineage: Bacteria
Description: partial 16S ribosomal RNA
Rfam family: Bacterial small subunit ribosomal RNA
Source: RNAcentral